CCUACGGGCGGCAGCAGUGGGGAAUAUUGCACAAUGGGCGCAAGCCUGAUGCAGCCAUGCCGCGUGUGUGAAGAAGGCCUUCGGGUUGUAAAGCACUUUCAGCGGGGAGGAAGGCGGUGAGGUUAAUAACCUCAUCGAUUGACGUUACCCGCAGAAGAAGCACCGGCUAACUCCGUGCCAGCAGCCGCGGUAAUACGGAGGGUGCAAGCGUUAAUCGGAAUUACUGGGCGGAAAGCGCACGCAGGCGGUCUGUCAAGUCGGAUGUGAAAUCCCCGGGCUCAACCUGGGAACUGCAUUCGAAACUGGCAGGCUAGAGUCUUGUAGAGGGGGGUAGAAUUCCAGGUGUAGCGGUGAAAUGCGUAGAGAUCUGGAGGAAUACCGGUGGCGAAGGCGGCCCCCUGGACAAAGACUGACGCUCAGGUGCGAAAGCGUGGGGAGCAAACAGGAUUAGAUACCCGGGUAGUC
RNAcentral lists this ribosomal RNA (465 nucleotides) under uncultured Klebsiella sp. RNAcentral describes it as "bacterial SSU rRNA". It matches the Rfam family "Bacterial small subunit ribosomal RNA", at positions 338 to 795 of the family's 1533-position model. Lineage: Bacteria; Pseudomonadati; Pseudomonadota; Gammaproteobacteria; Enterobacterales; Enterobacteriaceae. The record is from RNAcentral.